UACCAGCACCCCGAGUGGUCGGUACGAUUAUUGGGCCUAAAGCAUCCGUAGCCGGUUCUACAAGUCUUCCGUGAAAUCCACCUGCUUAACAGAUGGGCUGCGGAGGAUACUAUAGAGCUAGGAGGCGGGAGAGGCAAGCGGUACUUAGUGGGUAGGGGUAAAAUCCGUUGAUCCAUUGAAGACCACCAGUGGCGAAGGCGGCUUGCCAGAACGCACUCGACGGUGAGGGAUGAAAGCUGGGGGAGCAAACCGG
Molecule: ribosomal RNA, 253 nt
Filed under: uncultured bacterium
Lineage: Bacteria
Description: partial 16S ribosomal RNA
Rfam family: Archaeal small subunit ribosomal RNA
Source: RNAcentral